UUUAAAGAGCCCAGUAAAUGGACUCUUACUGUCUUGAUUUGAUGGAUUUCCUGUUGAAACAGGAAGUUAGGGCGGGACAUGGUGCAGGGAAGGAUCACU
Myripristis murdjan (pinecone soldierfish) is the source of this 99-nucleotide long non-coding RNA. RefSeq lists it as uncharacterized. The record is from RefSeq and is a predicted model, not a curated record. The transcript is spliced from 3 exons. NCBI's taxonomy places the organism in Eukaryota, Metazoa, Chordata, Actinopteri, Holocentriformes, Holocentridae.